AUCGACCUAUCCAAAAAGCAUACCAGGGUCCUGAGGAGGGUGUGAAGGCGACGUUAAAUUUGGAACCGGUGGCAUGGAGAUUCAAGGAAAAUGAUAAGGCUGACGAAGAGGAGAAAAAGGCAACGAAGAAAGAUGAUUCAAAUGAAGAAUAAGGCAAUGUCAUCAACAUCUUCAAGGGAUUCCUUCAGUGAAUCCUUGGUCAUGCCGCUUCAAGGAAAAUCUUUAUAUACUAACGGUGGUAGGUAACAACCAACAUACAAUAUCUUCGUCUUUCAGCCAUUGGCGCUUACUCUACUACAUGGGUUGUACCGUUUUUCCUAAAUCUUCCAAUCUUUUCUCUAUCGCCACUGCUUUCUUUGCAUUACUUCAGACAACUAAUUUUCCUACAAAGCAGUCACCAUUGUGUGUUCGCAAUGUAUCAUCCAAAUCAGUUUCUUUCACCAUGUAAAAGUUUGUGGCCCUGCGAUUGAUGGAUAUGGAGUAGGUUUGGACGAUGUUGUGAUAUGUAACGACCAUGUA
This is a long non-coding RNA of Papaver somniferum (opium poppy), 519 nucleotides long. RefSeq lists it as uncharacterized. The transcript is spliced from 3 exons. Lineage: Eukaryota; Viridiplantae; Streptophyta; Magnoliopsida; Ranunculales; Papaveraceae. The record is from RefSeq and is a predicted model, not a curated record.